Molecule: transfer RNA, 75 nt
Filed under: Ailuropoda melanoleuca (giant panda)
Lineage: Eukaryota; Metazoa; Chordata; Mammalia; Carnivora; Ursidae
Rfam family: tRNA
About the family: Transfer RNA (tRNA) molecules are approximately 80 nucleotides in length. Their secondary structure includes four short double-helical elements and three loops (D, anti-codon, and T loops). Further hydrogen bonds mediate the characteristic L-shaped molecular structure. tRNAs have two regions of fundamental functional importance: the anti-codon, which is responsible for specific mRNA codon recognition, and the 3' end, to which the tRNAs corresponding amino acid is attached (by aminoacyl-tRNA synthetases). tRNAs cope with the degeneracy of the genetic code in two manners: having more than one tRNA (with a specific anti-codon) for a particular amino acid; and 'wobble' base-pairing, i.e. permitting non-standard base-pairing at the 3rd anti-codon position.
Source: Rfam by way of RNAcentral
GCCUGGUUGGAUCAGUUGAUAAGAGUGUGCGACUGUUGAUCUCAAGGGUCGUGAGUUUGAGCCCCACAUUGGGCA